GACGAACGCUGGCGGCGCGCUUAACACAUGCAAGUCGAGCGAGAACCAGGGCUUCGGCUCUGGGGACAGCGGCGAACGGGUGAGUAACACGUGAGUAAUCUGCCCUCGACACUGGGAUAGCCCGGGGAAACCCGGAUUAAUACCGGAUAGCCUUUCGAGCUCUCGGGCUCGUCAGAAAAGGAUGGCUUCGGCUUUCGGUUGAGGAUGAGCUUGCGGCGGAUUAGCUUGUUGGUGAGGAACGGCUCACCAAGGCGACAAUCCGUAGCUGGUCUGAGAGGACGAUCAGCCACACUGGGACUGAGACACGGCCCAGACUCCUACGGGAGGCAGCAGUGGGGAAUCUUGCGCAAUGAGCGAAAGCUUGACGCAGCGACGCCGCGUGAGGGAAGAAGGCCUCGGUU
Molecule: ribosomal RNA, 401 nt
Filed under: uncultured bacterium
Lineage: Bacteria
Description: bacterial SSU rRNA
Rfam family: Bacterial small subunit ribosomal RNA
Source: RNAcentral